Phascolarctos cinereus (koala) is the source of this 1612-nucleotide long non-coding RNA. Lineage: Eukaryota; Metazoa; Chordata; Mammalia; Diprotodontia; Phascolarctidae. The record is from Ensembl.
AUGAGGGAGAUAGAGAGAGAGAGAAGAGAGAGAAAGGGGGGGAGGGUAGGAGGAGGGGAGAGAAGGAGAGAGGGAGAGGGAAGGAGGGAGAGAAGGAGAGGGAAGAGAGAGAAAGAGGGGGGAGGGAUGGAGGAGGGGAGAGGAGGAGGGGAGAGAAGAAGAGAGGGAGAGGCAGAGGGAGGGUGGAAGAGGGAGGGAGGGAGGGAGGAAAAGGGGGGGAGAGGGAGAGAAAUUGAUUACUUCUUGUCGAGUAUGUUACAUGGAGAAUCUUACUUAGGUGUAGCUGGAUUAAAUGACCUCUGGCUUUGUUUGUUCUGUCAGGAAGACAGGGCAGAGGUUUUCCUACUGGAAAGGAAGAAUGGCGCGGGCUGCAUUUUGGUGGAGAGUAAUUUGUUCUGCACCUUGGACAAAGUCAUGGUGCUUGGAGGCUUCAUGAUGGGUGGUGGAGGAGAUGACUUUGCAAACUGCCAGAAAUCCUGGAUUCCCCAAUGGCUAACAGAGGAAUGGGGCGGACCCAAAGGGAUCCAGUAUAAAUUAACCCCAGAGACAAAAUCAGCUCUUUACACUUGGGGUAGGAGGCUUUUCUCUUUGGUAAUCAGUUGUAUUUUUUAAUGAGUUUUCAUUAAAAUAAUAGCUAGCCCCUGCAUGAUGGAAUCUUAGUAAAGGUGGAAAAGUUAUUACAUACAUCAUUUCAAUGAGAAGGCUUGUUUUUGCUGAGUAAUCGCAAAUGCUUCAUUGAACUUGUCUUUAGAGCCUUCUAAUGAUAAAGUUCUUAUGGUCUUUGGGAAGGGAGCUUCCUUGAAAGACUUCCAAAAUCUCACUUUUCUUACUGAUAUUCACUUUAAGUUUUUUCAUGUAGUCUUAAAAUAUUUAUUAUGAACAUAACAUUAAGCAUCAAUUCUACCAGAUAAAUUUGCUUUGUAAUGACUUACAUUUAGAUCAAUGAAUCACAGUGCAUAAAAUGCCACAACAAUUCCUCCAGUUCUUCUGUGUCUCCAUCAGAAUACCCCAGAGGUACCCACCAUAGCCGCCCCCUCUCAGUGAUGACAUCUGUCCCCACAGGUUUGAUUAUCAUCUUCAUGCAGAUGGUGCCCAGAUCUCUGUAUCUAGCCCUUGUCUCUUUCCUGAGCUCCAGGAGACCAACUGUCUAAUGGACAUCUCCAUCAGGAUGUUCUGUUUGCUUCUUGAACUUAACGUGCUCCACGGAGAACCCUUUAUAUUUCCUCCUAAGACUACCUGACCUCCCAAUUUAACUCCUCUGUGGAAGAUACCACCCUCCUCUCAUUUCCCCAGGUUUGCAACCUUGGAGUCAUGUUGGACUCUUCAUUUUCAUUGAUCUCCUCUAUCUAAUCAAUGGCCAAGUCUUCUCACUUGGACAACACAUUUAUGCCUCUCAUCACAUGCUAUGGCCAGCUCCCUGGAACUGAUUCACUUGACAUUCCCCACUCAGUGUGUUCCACCUCGCACCUCCUGCCUUUGCUGCAACCCCCCCCCCUUCAUCCUUACUUCCAACUCCUAGAGCCCCUUCUUGACUUCAAGACUUGGUAGAAGGACCACUUCUUCUAAGAGGCCCACCAGGAUUCCCUGAGUUAUUAGUGCUUCCCCUCUGUCC